RNAcentral lists this ribosomal RNA (409 nucleotides) under uncultured microorganism. RNAcentral describes it as "bacterial SSU rRNA". It matches the Rfam family "Archaeal small subunit ribosomal RNA", at positions 330 to 745 of the family's 1478-position model. The record is from RNAcentral.
GUGCACCAGUCGAGAAUACUUUACAAUGUGCGAAAGCACGAUAAGGGAACUCUGAGUGCCUCCUAAGGAGGCUGUUCAGGUGUCUAAAAGCACCUGAAGGAAGGGCUGGGUAAGACCGGUGCCAGCCGCCGCGGUAACACCGGCAGCCCAAGUGGUAGCCACGUUUAUUGGGUCUAAAGCGUCCGUAGCCGGCUGGAUAAGUUCCUUGGGAAAUUUGGCUGCUUAACAGUCAAGCUUUCAGGGAAUACUGCCCGGCUUGGGACCGGGAGAGGUCAGAGGUACUCCAGGGGUAGGGGUGAAAUCCAUUAAUCCUUGGGGGACCACCGGUAGCGAAGGCGUCUGACCAGACCGGGUCCGACGGUGAGGGACGAAGGCUAGGGGCGCGAACCGGAUUAGAUACCCCUGUAGU